CCGAGUUUACAACUCCCAACCCCAAUGUGAACGUUACCCAACUGUUGCCUCGGCGGGAUCUCUGCCCCGGGCGCGUCGCAGCCCCGGACCAAGGCGCCCGCCGGAGGACCGACCAAAACCCUUGUUGUAUACCCCGUCGCGGGUUUUUUACUGUCUGAGCCGUCUCGGCGCCCCUCGUGGGCGUUCCGAAAAUGAAUCA
Molecule: unclassified non-coding RNA, 199 nt
Filed under: uncultured Trichoderma
Lineage: Eukaryota; Fungi; Ascomycota; Sordariomycetes; Hypocreales; Hypocreaceae
Description: sequence contains ITS1
Source: RNAcentral